Molecule: ribosomal RNA, 513 nt
Filed under: Blommersia aff. blommersae MRSN A6865
Lineage: Eukaryota; Metazoa; Chordata; Amphibia; Anura; Mantellidae
Description: partial 16S ribosomal RNA
Rfam family: Bacterial large subunit ribosomal RNA
Source: RNAcentral
GGCCGCGGUACCCUAACCGUGCGAAGGUAGCAUAAUCACUUGUUCUUUAAAUGAGGACUAGUAUCAACGGCAUCACGAGGGUUAAACUGUCUCCUUUCUCUAAUCAAUGAAACUGAUCUUCCCGUGAAGAAGCGGGAAUUAAUUUAUAAGACGAGAAGACCCCAUGGAGCUUUAAACCCAAUUACAUCCCUAUAUUUUAUUCCCUUUUAAUCUUUAAGGCCCUGUACAUCUGGUUUUAGGUUUGGGGGGACCGCGGAACCAAAAAAAAGCCCCCCCGAUGAAAGGGAAAUUAUCUCCUUAUCUAAAUUUUACUUUUCUAAGAAUUAAUAUCUUAACAUUUAAUGAUCCAAUAAUUGAUCAACGAACCAAGUUACCCUGGGGAUAACAGCGCAAUCCACUUCAAGAGCUCCUAUCGACAAGUGGGUUUACGACCUCGAUGUUGGAUCAGGGUAUCCUAGUGGUGCAGCAGUUACUAAAGGUUCGUUUGUUCAACGAUUAAAACCCUACAUGAUC